GACGAACGCUGGCGGCGUGCUUAACACAUGCAAGUCGAACGGAAAGGCCCUGCUUUUGUGGGGUGCUCGAGUGGCGAACGGGUGAGUAACACGUGAGUAACCUGCCCUUGACUUUGGGAUAACUUCAGGAAACUGGGGCUAAUACCGGAUAGGAGCUCCUGCUGCAUGGUGGGGGUUGGAAAGUUUCGGCGUUUGGGGAUGGACUCGCGGCUUACCAGUUUGUUGGUGGGGUAGUGGCUUACCAAGGCUUUGACGGGUAGCCGGCCUGAGAGGGUGACCGGCCAAAUUGGGACUGAGAGAAGGCCCAGCCUGCUACGGGGGGCAGCGGUGGCGAACAUUGCCCAGUGGGCGGACGCCUGAUGCAGCAACGCCGCGUGCUGGAUGAAGGCCUUCGGGUUGUAAACCGCUUUCGCCUGUGACGACGCGUGAGUGACGGUAAUGGGAAAAGAAGCACCGGCUAACUACGUG
Molecule: ribosomal RNA, 468 nt
Filed under: uncultured bacterium
Lineage: Bacteria
Description: partial 16S ribosomal RNA
Rfam family: Bacterial small subunit ribosomal RNA
Source: RNAcentral